AGUCUUACGAGGGUGAGGAAAAGGAUGGGGCUAAAACUUAUUCUAGCGCCGUUGAUAUUAGGCCGAAGCAGGACCAAACCGGAGGUUUGAGAGUAAAUAUCGCUCACCCACGCAUGCCCUGGGGAAUACCCCGGGGCGCAAUGUGCGUUCAAAGAUUCAAUGAUUCACGUCUGCAAGUCAUAUUACGUAUCGCAAUUCGCUGCGUUCUUCAUCGAUGCGAGAACCAAGAGAUCCGUUGUUGAAAGUUUUUUGAAUUAAGUUAUUGACGGUUAAAAUUUAAA
This 281-nucleotide unclassified non-coding RNA is filed under the name Metschnikowia pulcherrima. RNAcentral's name for it is "sequence contains ITS1, 5.8S rRNA gene, ITS2". Lineage: Eukaryota; Fungi; Ascomycota; Pichiomycetes; Serinales; Metschnikowiaceae. The record is from RNAcentral.